GCUCGGUUAGCACAGUCGGGAGAGCACCAGACUCUUGAUCUGGCUGUCACGGGUUCGAGCCCCGCAUUGGGCU
This is a non-coding RNA of Angiostrongylus cantonensis (rat lungworm), 73 nucleotides long. The record is from Rfam. Lineage: Eukaryota; Metazoa; Nematoda; Chromadorea; Rhabditida; Metastrongylidae.